CAAGAUCUAGUUUAUAAAUGAACAUCUUACUUACAAUAAGAAGGAAGGAAAUCUUGA
RNAcentral lists this transfer RNA (57 nucleotides) under Osborniella crotophagae. Its description in RNAcentral is "tRNA-Val". The record is from RNAcentral. Lineage: Eukaryota; Metazoa; Arthropoda; Insecta; Psocodea; Menoponidae.